GCCUCCGUGGAUGAGUGGUUCAUCGCCUCGCACUAUUAAAGUCCCUGCCAGGAGACGCGGGUUCGACUCCCGCCGGAAGCA
Non-coding RNA from Mycena rosella, 81 nucleotides. The record is from the annotation of a GenBank genome assembly. Lineage: Eukaryota; Fungi; Basidiomycota; Agaricomycetes; Agaricales; Mycenaceae.